UUAGAGGUGUUAGAAGUUUAAUAAGCUUGUUUUAGGAACAAGAAUUGGGGUUGUUCCCUCUCUAAU
Molecule: transfer RNA, 66 nt
Filed under: Macrogyrodactylus karibae
Lineage: Eukaryota; Metazoa; Platyhelminthes; Monogenea; Gyrodactylidea; Gyrodactylidae
Description: tRNA-Leu
Source: RNAcentral